Myodes glareolus (Bank vole) is the source of this 2575-nucleotide non-coding RNA. Lineage: Eukaryota; Metazoa; Chordata; Mammalia; Rodentia; Cricetidae. The record is from RefSeq and is a predicted model, not a curated record.
UUCCAGGCCUGUCGUUUUAGGAGCCCUACGGACUGGCAUCGGUUGUGCUUUGCACUGAUUCGAGAGCAAAUCAAAGAAGGAGGACGUUCAGAAGGGACAUCUCGGGGACUCCUGCACUGCGAAUGGCGAUGACGUAGCUAGAGUAGUCAGUGCUGGGGAUGGAAUCCAGAGACUCACACGUGCUGGACAAGUGCACAGGAGUUCUACUGCAAAGACAUGUGAGUCCCAGAAACCUAACUCAGACUUGGCAACAGAUAUUUUUAUCCACUGAGCCAUCUUGCCAGCCCUUAAUGACUCAUUUUCUUUGUGUAUUGCGGUGCUGGGAAUGACACCUAGACUCUCCUGCAUGCUGGUCUAUGCCUGGCUCCCGCUCAGCACCGCUUCAGUGGCAGCCACAGUGGUGGUGGCUGUCUUAGUAGUCAGUUCCCUGGACACCACGCCUUCCCACCUUUGGUCUGCCUCAGAGUCCUCUUCAAGGUUUCCUCCAGGUUCUCAGGGCCUCGGGAACUUCUGACAGGCUUCAAGGUCAAGGUUUCCCGGGCCUUCCCUUGCUGCUCUACCAGGACAGCCCCAGAGCAUUCCCUGGGAGCCAGCUUGGGCUAUCUUCGCAAGUCUGAGGCUGAAUUGACCCCCAGUUGAACCACCCCGAGAGAGCAGCUAGCCCUCAGUCUAGGCUCUCUCAAGUACGCCACACGUGACUGGCCUCCACAGGCCUAAGCAGGGCCUCUGCUGCCCUCUGAUUAUCUUUGAGAGAAGAGGCCCAGUGAAGCUGGUGAAAGGAUGGGAAGACCACAAAGGUAUUCCUGAGAAGAGAAGCAAGUCAGAAGACCCAGGUUGGGUAUCCCCAGCCUGGCCAACACCCAUGCCCAAAGCCCCCAGAGACCCCACACUCACCUGAGUCUCGGACGUUGGACCCCACAUCCUGACUGGUGGACUGGAGGGCAGACAGUGCUACCUGGCAGGUGUCUGCAGAACAGCUCAGGAUCGCUCAGUGGUGACUCCAACUCAUCAGUGGCCUGCCCUGUGGUAGCUGCUGACCAACCCUCAGGCUGGCUGGGCACUCAGGUCUUCAGUAGGGAACUGCUGGGUGGGUACAGAGGGCACCUGCACACCCUCAGAGCAGGCUGUCUCCUCUGGUUGAGCAGCAGUGACCUCAGGAGCCCUAAAAUCCCGCCUUUGUCCCAGUUUUCUCAGCAGCAGCCUGAUCCUCCUCUGGGUCUCUGUAGGUCAGGCAUAACAUCCCAUGGGUGCUCACUCAUGCCGAGAACUUCCCAGGCCAGCAUCCGCUUCAGACCCACCGAGUGAGUACCCACUGGGUGAGUGUUGCAUGGGCUAGCAAUGUCCACAUACUACAGAGGCAAGUCUGCAUUACACAGAGUCAGUGGUAGGCAGGUUGGUGUAAGAUGCCUUAUGAGGAGCUGGGGAGGGUCAGUUCUGGGAUCAGUCAUCACUAGACUUAGUGACUUCCAGUGAUUUCCUGGAGGCUGCUUGGAUUUGGACUUCUAGUGAUUUCCUGGAGGCUGCUUGGAUUUGGUUACUGAAGACCCGUGAUGUAAAGCGGUCAGCAAUUUGAGUAGCUCCAGUGGCGGCAGCAAACUUCAGCACGGCUCGCUGGCCAGUGUCCCUGGAGGAGAUGAUGCUGACAUGAGCAGGGAUCUCAAUGGCGGCAAGAGCCUGAGCUGCCGGCAACAGCUUCUCCCGGGUCCUCCCCAGAUUUAUGAUGUAGAUGCCAUCACUUUUCCUUUUGUAGAUGAACUGCUCCAUCUGAAAGUCGAGGUUAGCCGAGCGGUGGUGGCACACGCCUUUAAUCCCAGCACUUGGGAGGCAGAGGCAGGUGGAUCUCUGUGAGUUCGAGGCCAGCCUGGGCUACAAGAGCUAGCUCCAGGACAGGCUCCAAAGCUACAGAGAAACCCUGUCUCGAAAAACAAAAACAAAAACAAAAAAGAAAGAAAAAGAAAAGAAAGUCAAGGUUGGUGCCACCUAAGUGGGUUCCUAUGACAAGGAAUUUGAGGACAUCCUUCUCCUUCAUCUUCAGGACAUCAAGAGCUCUGAACAUUGUGCCGAGCCCUGUAGCAACCACCGUCUUGAGUCCAUUCGGCAAGCAAACCCAAUGCACAGACAACUCCUGUUCAGCUGCUCAAGAGGAUCUGGACUUCCGGACACAAGUGAUGCUGCUGACUCAGCCUCCCAGAUAGCUGGGACUUCAGCUAUGAAGAAGAAUGAAAUGGAAUACUAUUCAACUAUAAAAUGAGUGAACCCAUGUCCCUUGCAGCAAAAUGGAUGGACCUGGAGGUCAUUAUGCCAGAGAAAGAAAGUGCUGUGGUUGGAGCCAGAGCCUUCUGAAUGCAGAGCAGGUACUCCUCUAUGAACUACAUCUUCAAUAGGUAUAUAUUACAGGUGAAACUUAUUUUAAUUCUGUGCUUGUGAGUGUGUGUGGAGCCUAGAGUCACUUGGUAGAGUGUUGCAUUAGCUUUCCCUGGAGAGACAUAAAAAGGCAUCCAAUAACCCCAGAUGGGCACCAAUGACAAACUAAAGUAUGAUUUCCCCAAAGUCCUUUUUUUUUCCAGACAGGGUU